RNAcentral lists this ribosomal RNA (301 nucleotides) under uncultured bacterium. RNAcentral's name for it is "partial 16S ribosomal RNA". It matches the Rfam family "Bacterial small subunit ribosomal RNA", at positions 509 to 807 of the family's 1533-position model. The record is from RNAcentral.
CAGUCGCCGCGGUAAUACGUAGGGUCCGAGCGUUGUCCGGAAUUAUUGGGCGUAAAGGGCUCGUAGGCGGUUUGUCGCGUCGGGAGUGAAAACCAGCAGCUUAACUGCUGGCCUGCUUUCGAUACGGGCAGACUUGAGGCAUUCAGGGGAGAACGGAAUUCCUGGUGUAGCGGUGAAAUGCGCAGAUAUCAGGAGGAACACCGGUGGCGAAGGCGGUUCUCUGGGAAUGUUCUGACGCUGAGGAGCGAAAGUGUGGGGAGCGAACAGGAUUAGAUACCCCAGUAGUCCCUGUCUCUUAUAC